AUGAGUUGUAACUCCCUCGGGAGCCAUCUCCACCCCUUGAAUACCAACUUUUGUUGCUUUGGUGGGCCGCGGCCCUGCCGCCAUCGGCCCCGGCUGAUGAGCGCCCGCCAGAGGCUUUAAACUCUUGAUUACAACGAGUCUGAGCAAUUGAAUAAAUGCGAA
RNAcentral lists this unclassified non-coding RNA (162 nucleotides) under uncultured Ostropales. RNAcentral describes it as "sequence contains ITS1". Lineage: Eukaryota; Fungi; Ascomycota; Lecanoromycetes. The record is from RNAcentral.